Molecule: ribosomal RNA, 442 nt
Filed under: uncultured bacterium
Lineage: Bacteria
Description: partial 16S ribosomal RNA
Rfam family: Bacterial small subunit ribosomal RNA
Source: RNAcentral
CCUACGGGUGGCAGCAGUGGGGAAUAUUGGGCAAUGGGCGCAAGCCUGACCCAGCAACGCCGCGUGAAGGAAGAAGGCUUUCGGGUUGUAAACUUCUUUUGUCAGGGAAGAGUAGAAGACGGUACCUGACGAAUAAGCCACGGCUAACUACGUGCCAGCAGCCGCGGUAAUACGUAGGUGGCAAGCGUUGUCCGGAUUUACUGGGUGUAAAGGGCGUGUAGCCGGGUUGACAAGUCAGAUGUGAAAUCCCGUGGCUCAACCACGGAACUGCAUUUGAAACUGUCGGUCUUGAGUAUCGGAGAGGCAGGCGGAAUUCCUAGUGUAGCGGUGAAAUGCGUAGAUAUUAGGAGGAACACCAGUGGCGAAGGCGGCCUGCUGGACGACAACUGACGGUGAGGCGCGAAAGCGUGGGGAGCAAACAGGAUUGGAUACCCCUGUAGUC